UACGGAGGAUGCGAGCGUUAUCCGGAUUUAUUGGGUUUAAAGGGUGCGCAGGCGGGAGAUUAAGUCGGCGGUGAAAUUUUGCAGCUCAACUGUAAAAGUGCCUUCGAAACUGGUUUCCUUGAGUGUAGAUGAAGUAGGCGGAACUUGCGGUGGAGCGGUGAAAUGCUUUGAUAUCGCAAGGAACACCAGCGGCGAAGGCGGCUUACUGGGCUUCAACUGACGCUUAAGCGCGAAAGCUAGGGUAGCGAACGGGAUUAGAUACCCCUGUAGUCCCUGAG
RNAcentral lists this ribosomal RNA (278 nucleotides) under uncultured prokaryote. RNAcentral's name for it is "partial 16S ribosomal RNA". It matches the Rfam family "Bacterial small subunit ribosomal RNA", at positions 524 to 801 of the family's 1533-position model. The record is from RNAcentral.